AGUGAACGCUGGCGGUAGGCCUAACACAUGCAAGUCGAACGGCAGCACAGUAAGAGCUUGCUCUUACGGGUGGCGAGUGGCGGACGGGUGAGGAAUACAUCGGAAUCUACUUUUUCGUGGGUGAUAACGUAGGGAAACUUACGCUAAUACCGCAUACGACCUACGGGUGAAAGCAGGGGAUCUUCGGACCUUGCGCGAUUGAAUGAGCCGAUGUCGGAUUAGCUAGUUGGCGGGGUAAAGGCCCACCAAGGCGACGAUCCGUAGCUGGUCUGAGAGGAUGAUCAGCCACACUGGAACUGAGACACGGUCCAGACUCCUACGGGAGGCAGCAGUGGGGAAUAUUGGACAAUGGGCGCAAGCCUGAUCCAGCCAUGCCGCGUGUGUGAAGAAGGCCUUCGGGUUGUAAAGCCCUUUUGUUGGGAAAGAAAAGCAGCAGGUUAAUACCCCGCUGUUCUGACGGUACCCAAAGAAUAAGCACCGGCUAACUUCGUG
This 492-nucleotide ribosomal RNA is filed under the name uncultured bacterium. RNAcentral's name for it is "partial 16S ribosomal RNA". It matches the Rfam family "Bacterial small subunit ribosomal RNA", at positions 29 to 507 of the family's 1533-position model. The record is from RNAcentral.